Polypterus senegalus (gray bichir) is the source of this 780-nucleotide long non-coding RNA. RefSeq lists it as uncharacterized. The transcript has 3 exons. The record is from RefSeq and is a predicted model, not a curated record. Lineage: Eukaryota; Metazoa; Chordata; Cladistia; Polypteriformes; Polypteridae.
UAAUUUCAGCAUACUGUCCAUAGUGGUUUUGAAGUUCCAGAAAAAAAAAUCCAGAUAUUUUAAAUGUAUGUUUAUAAUGGUUUGCAUAAAUAUUUUUGUAACAUUAAACUCCUUUUAACAACGUGACUCUGCUCAGUCCUCUUUAGAAUGAAUGACAUGCCAGCUUUGAGGAAGUGCUGGUGUAGAAUGUUACUUGAGAACUCCAGCCCCAAGGGGUUUAGACUUUGUCUUCUCAUUAAUGGCUCAAUAGAGUAAAGACUUGGCACUACAUCUGAAAUGGGAAAAAAAAAAAUGUCUUGCUAUUCUAUUCCAUAGCACUGCGUUCUGCAGGUUUCAGGUCUUUUAGAAGAAACGUCAGCCACCCUUCUCCAACAUCCAGCACAGGGCACAGAUGAGCAGCAACACAGAAUUCUUCAGCAUUUUACUGAGGCAAAGAAGUGGUGUGCUGAGAACAUUUCUGUGUUCAGAGGGCACAUCUCACUCCCUUUAUUACUGUCAAUGGACAAACACAACAUUGAGGAGGCCAUUUAGAAAUUUGAUUUGCUAUCUGAAUUUCCAGAAGAAGAGAAGAGGGAAUAUGUCAUUAGACUCUUCAUCAUCCUUUAUGUCACAUAUGGAAGACAUGUAUCUGUUUUUAGAUAACAUGAGAGGAAAAAGGAAAAUUACUGCUUCGUCAGAAAAUGUAACCAACAUACAUGUCCCUCGUUGUUCAGUUACAACCUACAACUCUUUUUCUAUAUUUUAUAUAUUCUUUAACUUUUUGUAAUAAAUGUCGCAAAC